This 1753-nucleotide ribosomal RNA is filed under the name Sphingobium sp. C100. RNAcentral describes it as "bacterial LSU rRNA". It matches the Rfam family "Bacterial large subunit ribosomal RNA", at positions 1 to 1747 of the family's 2925-position model. The record is from RNAcentral. Lineage: Bacteria; Pseudomonadati; Pseudomonadota; Alphaproteobacteria; Sphingomonadales; Sphingobiaceae.
AUGGUUAAGUUAGAAAGGGCGCACGGUGGAUGCCUUGGCACUAGGAGCCGAUGAAGGACGGGACGAACACCGAUAUGCUUCGGGGAGCUGUAAGCAAGCUUUGAUCCGGAGAUUUCCGAAUGGGGAAACCCACUGCUCGUAAUGGAGUAGUAUCCAUACUUGAAUACAUAGAGUAUGAGAAGGCAUACCCGGGGAACUGAAACAUCUAAGUACCCGGAGGAAGAGAAAGCAAAUGCGAUUCCCUGAGUAGCGGCGAGCGAAACGGGAACAGCCCAAACCAAGAGGCUUGCCUCUUGGGGUUGUAGGACACUCUAUACGGAGUUACAAAGGAAUGAUAUAAGCGAAGAGGUCUGGAAAGGCCCGCCAAAGAAGGUAACAGCCCUGUAACUGAAAUGUUGUUCUCUCCAGAGUGGAUCCUGAGUACGGCGGAACACGUGAAAUUCCGUCGGAAUCCGGGAGGACCAUCUCCCAAGGCUAAAUACUCCCUAGUGACCGAUAGUGAACCAGUACCGUGAGGGAAAGGUGAAAAGCACCCCGGAAGGGGAGUGAAAUAGAUCCUGAAACCGUGUGCCUACAAGUAGUCAGAGCCCGUUAACGGGUGAUGGCGUGCCUUUUGUAGAAUGAACCGGCGAGUUACGAUCCCGUGCAAGGUUAAGCAGAAGAUGCGGAGCCGCAGCGAAAGCGAGUCUGAAUAGGGCGCAUGAGUACGUGGUCGUAGACCCGAAACCAGGUGAUCUACCCAUGUCCAGGGUGAAGUUCAGGUAACACUGAAUGGAGGCCCGAACCCACGCACGUUGAAAAGUGCGGGGAUGAGGUGUGGGUAGGGGUGAAAUGCCAAUCGAACCUGGAGAUAGCUGGUUCUCUCCGAAAUAGCUUUAGGGCUAGCCUCAAGGUAAGAGUCUCGGAGGUAGAGCACUGAUUGGACUAGGGGCCCCUACCGGGUUACCGAAUUCAGUCAAACUCCGAAUGCCGAUGACUUAUCCUUGGGAGUCAGACUGCGAGUGAUAAGAUCCGUAGUCGAAAGGGAAACAGCCCAGACCGCCAGCUAAGGUCCCAAAGUAUACGUUAAGUGGAAAAGGAUGUGGAGUUGCUUAGACAACCAGGAUGUUGGCUUAGAAGCAGCCACCAUUUAAAGAGUGCGUAAUAGCUCACUGGUCGAGUGACUCUGCGCCGAAAAUGUACCGGGGCUAAACGUAUCACCGAAGCUGCGGACUGUUCUUACGAACAGUGGUAGGAGAGCGUUCUAAGGGCUGUGAAGCCAGACCGGAAGGACUGGUGGAGCGCUUAGAAGUGAGAAUGCCGGUAUGAGUAGCGAAAGACGGGUGAGAAUCCCGUCCACCGAAUGCCUAAGGUUUCCUGAGGAAGGCUCGUCCGCUCAGGGUUAGUCGGGACCUAAGCCGAGGCCGAAAGGCGUAGGCGAUGGACAACAGGUUGAUAUUCCUGUACCACCUCCUCACCAUUUGAGCAAUGGGGGGACGCAGGAGGAUAGGGUAAGCGCGGUAUUGGAUAUCCGCGUCCAAGCAGUUAGGCUGGGAAAUAGGCAAAUCCGUUUCCCGUAAAGGCUGAGCUGUGAUGGCGAGCGAAAUUUAGUAGCGAAGUUCCUGAUUCCACACUGCCAAGAAAAGCCUCUAGCGAGGUGAGAGGUGCCCGUACCGCAAACCGACACAGGUAGGCGAGGAGAGAAUCCUAAGGUGAUCGAGAGAACUCUCGUUAAGGAACUCGGCAAAAUGGCCCCGUAACUUCGGGAGAAGGG